UACAUAGGGUGCAAGCGUUGUCCGGAAUUAUUGGGCGUAAAGAGCUCGUAGGCGGUUUGUUGCGUCGGCUGUGAAAUCCCGAGGCUCAACCUCGGGUCUGCAGUCGAUACGGGCAAACUGGAGUGUUGCAGGGGAGACUGGAAUUCCUGGUGUAGCGGUGAAAUGCGCAGAUAUCAGGAGGAACACCGGUGGCGAAGGCGGGUCUCUGGGCAACAACUGACGCUGAGGAGCGAAAGCGUGGGGAGCGAACAGG
Molecule: ribosomal RNA, 253 nt
Filed under: uncultured bacterium
Lineage: Bacteria
Description: partial 16S ribosomal RNA
Rfam family: Bacterial small subunit ribosomal RNA
Source: RNAcentral